GAUAAACGCUGGCGGCGUGCCUAACACAUGCAAGUCGAACGUCCUCUCUCGCAAGAGAGAGGGAGUGGCGGACGGGUGAGUAACACAUGGGUCACCUACCCUUAAGUGAGGAAUACCGGCGAGAAAUCGCCGACAAGACCGCAUAGGCUCUCUCUUUUACAAGAGAGAGCAAAGCUUCGCAAGAGGCGCUUGAGGAUGGGCCUGUGGCCGAUUAGCUGGUUGGUAGGGAAUGGCUUACCAAGGCGACGAUCGGUAGCUGGUCUGAGAGGACGAUCAGCCACACUGGGAUUGAGAACGGCCCAGACUCCUACGGGGGGCAGCAGUGAGGAAUUUUACCGUC
RNAcentral lists this ribosomal RNA (340 nucleotides) under uncultured bacterium. Its description in RNAcentral is "bacterial SSU rRNA". It matches the Rfam family "Bacterial small subunit ribosomal RNA", at positions 28 to 371 of the family's 1533-position model. The record is from RNAcentral.